RNAcentral lists this transfer RNA (72 nucleotides) under Pseudomonadota bacterium. Its description in RNAcentral is "tRNA-Arg". It matches the Rfam family "tRNA". From Rfam's summary of the family: Transfer RNA (tRNA) molecules are approximately 80 nucleotides in length. The record is from RNAcentral. RNAcentral also lists the same sequence under 3 other names. Lineage: Bacteria; Pseudomonadati; Pseudomonadota.
GUCCCUGUAGCUCAGUGGAUAGAGCGCAGCCCUCCGGAGGCUGAAGCCUGAGUUCGAGUCUCAGCAGGGACG